ACGAACGCUAGCGGCGUGCCUAAGAAAUGCAAGUCGAGCGAACCGAGGGUGCUUGCACCCAAAGGUUAGCGGCGAACGGUCGCGUAACACGUAAGCAACCUGCCUCGAAGUUUGGGAUAGCCCUCCGAAAGGGGGAUUAAUACCGGAUGUGGACAAUUUCUCGCAUGUGGAAUUGUCUAAAGCAGCAAUGCGCUUCGAGAUGGGCUUGCGGCCUAUCAGCUAGUUGGUGUGGGUAACGGCUCACCAAGGCGACGACGGGUAGCUGGUCUGAGAGGAUGGUCAGCCGGACUGGGACUGAGACACGGCCCAGACUCCUACGGGGGGCAGCAAUUAGGAAUCUUGCGCAAUGGGCGAAAGCCUGACGCAGCGACGCCGCGUGACUGAUGACGUCUUUCGGGAUGUAAAGGUCUUUUUUGGGGGAAGAAGGAUGUGACGGUACCCCAAGAAUAAGCCCCGGCUAACUACGU
This 467-nucleotide ribosomal RNA is filed under the name uncultured bacterium. RNAcentral describes it as "bacterial SSU rRNA". It matches the Rfam family "Bacterial small subunit ribosomal RNA", at positions 29 to 506 of the family's 1533-position model. The record is from RNAcentral.